CCACCAUUAACUCAACUGGAAGAGUGUUUAGCCUUAUUAAGUCUAAGAGUCUAGGUUUGAUGCCUCGAUGGUGGUCCA
RNAcentral lists this transfer RNA (78 nucleotides) under Providencia alcalifaciens. RNAcentral describes it as "tRNA-Asn(att)". Lineage: Bacteria; Pseudomonadati; Pseudomonadota; Gammaproteobacteria; Enterobacterales; Morganellaceae. RNAcentral also lists the same sequence under 1 other name. The record is from RNAcentral.